Molecule: ribosomal RNA, 206 nt
Filed under: uncultured bacterium
Lineage: Bacteria
Description: partial 16S ribosomal RNA
Rfam family: Bacterial small subunit ribosomal RNA
Source: RNAcentral
CUCGUAGGCGGCCAACUAAGUCGGACGUGAAAUCCCUCGGCUUAACCGGGGAACUGCGUCUGAUACUGGAUGGCUUGAGUUUGGGAGAGGGAUGCGGAAUUCCAGGCGUAGCGGUGAAAUGCGUAGAUAUCUGGAGGAACACCGGUGGCGAAGGCGGCAUCCUGGACCAACACUGACGCUGAGGAGCGAAAGCCAGGGAGCAAACG